AUGCUUGCUCUGGCAGCACAUAAACUAAAACUGAAACAAUAGAGAGAUUAUCAUGGCCUCUGUCCAAAAGUGAUAGGCAAAUUUGUAAAUCAUUUCAUACUUCU
RNAcentral lists this small nuclear RNA (104 nucleotides) under Vulpes vulpes (red fox). Lineage: Eukaryota; Metazoa; Chordata; Mammalia; Carnivora; Canidae. The record is from RNAcentral.